GAUGAACGCUGGCGGCGUGCCUAAUACAUGCAAGUCGAGCGAACAGACGAGGAGCUUGCUCCUCUGACGUUAGCGGCGGACGGGUGAGUAACACGUGGAUAACCUACCUAUAAGACUGGGAUAACUUCGGGAAACCGGAGCUAAUACCGGAUAAUAUAUUGAACCGCAUGGUUCAAUAGUGAAAGACGGUUUUGCUGUCACUUAUAGAUGGAUCCGCGCCGCAUUAGCUAGUUGGUAAGGUAACGGCUUACCAAGGCAACGAUGCGUAGCCGACCUGAGAGGGUGAUCGGCCACACUGGAGCGGAGACACGGUCCAGACUCCUACGGGAGGCAGCAGUAGGGAAUCUUCCGCAGUGGGCGAAAGCCUGACGGAGCAACGCCGCGUGAGUGAUGAAGGUCUUCGGAUCGUAAAACUCUGUUAUUAGGGAAGAACAAAUGUGUAAGUAACUAUGCACGUCUUGACGGUACCUAAUCAGAAAGCCACGGCUAACUACGUG
Molecule: ribosomal RNA, 497 nt
Filed under: uncultured bacterium
Lineage: Bacteria
Description: partial 16S ribosomal RNA
Rfam family: Bacterial small subunit ribosomal RNA
Source: RNAcentral